RNAcentral lists this long non-coding RNA (275 nucleotides) under Panax ginseng (ginseng). RNAcentral describes it as "long non-coding RNA (PGIN_LNC006473)". Lineage: Eukaryota; Viridiplantae; Streptophyta; Magnoliopsida; Apiales; Araliaceae. The record is from RNAcentral.
AGAGGGAGAAGAAGAGAGGAGAUAAAAUCAACUGAGACGAAAUUAAACCACUCCGAUUCACCAAAUCUUACGAGAUUUAAAACCCACCACUCAAAUCUUUCCUUCCCUCCCUCCUCAAUACCCACCCAGAUCGAUCUUACUUGCUUUCUCCAACUUUCAUCAUAUUCCUUUAAAUCUGCUCUCGUCCAUGUUAUUUCUAUCCAGUUCUUCCGUCUCUCGCUUUCUUCUUAUUGAUUUUCCCCAAUUGGGCAAACAUUUUCAAGUUAUAUUAACAC